Molecule: ribosomal RNA, 451 nt
Filed under: uncultured bacterium
Lineage: Bacteria
Description: bacterial SSU rRNA
Rfam family: Bacterial small subunit ribosomal RNA
Source: RNAcentral
GCAAGUCGAGCGAUGAAACACCUUCGGGUGUGAAUUAGCGGCGAACGGGUGAGGAACACGUGAAGAAUCUGCCUUCAACUCUGGGAUAACUCCGGGAAACCGGGGCUAAUACCGGAUAUGAGCCUCGAUCGCAUGAUUGGGGCUGGAAAGGUUUUUCGGUUGAAGAUGACUUCGCGGCCUAUCAGCUUGUUGGUGAGGUAAUGGCUCACCAAGGCGACGACGGGUAGCCGGCCUGAGAGGGCGACCGGCCACACUGGGACUUGAGACACGGUCCAGACUCAAUACGGGAGGCAGCCAGUGGGGAAUAUUGGGCAAUGGAGGAAACUCUGACCCAGCGACGCCGCGUGAGGGAUGAAGGCCUUCGGGUUGUAAACCUUCUUCAGUAGGGGAAGAAGCGAAAGGUGACGGUACCUACAGAAGAAGCACCGGUUAACUAUGUGCCAGCAGCCCG